ACAGGAAUGGCGGCCACAGGAUUGGCGGCCACAUGGGGAUGUGCGGCGGCGGUGGGUUGGUGGAUUCCCUGCUGCAGGGUCAGCUGUCCGAUCAUCUCCCUCAAUUCUGCCAAGGAUGCCUCAAUCGCAGCAAGUCGCGCCUCUUGGUUAUCUGCCAUGGUCGAACUUCGCUCUGAUACCAAUCUGAUACAGGACUAUUUAGACUCUGUCAGGAGUUGUAACCAAUAUCGUUUGGUUAAGACGAAAUAAGAGAAAAGAUAGGCUAAAAGACGAAAAGUCUUAUUGAAAUUUCUUAAAAAUUGGAAAGUGAGUUCCUAAUAGCCAAGGGAGGCUAUUUAUAAUAGAAAUAAAAUUCUAAUAUGCAAAAAUAAUCCUAAUCUUAAUAGGAGUCUAAAAUCCUAAUAGCCAAGGGAGGCUAUUUACAAUAGAAAUAAAAUCCUAAUAUGAAAAAAUAAUUCUAAUCCUAAUAGGAGUCUAACUGUUC
Molecule: long non-coding RNA, 484 nt
Filed under: Manihot esculenta (cassava)
Lineage: Eukaryota; Viridiplantae; Streptophyta; Magnoliopsida; Malpighiales; Euphorbiaceae
Description: long non-coding RNA (MESC_LNC004459)
Source: RNAcentral